UGGGGAAUUUUGGACAAUGGGCGCAAGCCUGAUCCAGCCAUGCCGCGUGCAGGAUGAAGGCCUUCGGGUUGUAAACUGCUUUUGUACGGAACGAAAAGGUGCCUUCUAAUAAAGGGCGCUCAUGACGGUACCGUAAGAAUAAGCACCGGCUAACUACGUGCCAGCAGCCGCGGUAAUACGUAGGGUGCGAGCGUUAAUCGGAAUUACUGGGCGUAAAGCGUGCGCAGGCGAUUUUGUAAGACAGAUGUGAAAUCCCCGGGCUUAACCUGGGAACUGCUGUUGUGGCUGCAAGGCUGGAGUACGGCAGAGGGGGGUGGAAUUCCACGUGUAGCAGUGAAAUGCGUAGAGAUGUGGAGGAACACCGAUGGCGAAGGCAGCCCCCUGGGCCUGUACUGACGCUCAUGCACGAAAGCGUGGGGAGCAAACA
RNAcentral lists this ribosomal RNA (427 nucleotides) under uncultured bacterium. RNAcentral's name for it is "bacterial SSU rRNA". It matches the Rfam family "Bacterial small subunit ribosomal RNA", at positions 355 to 774 of the family's 1533-position model. The record is from RNAcentral.